Molecule: ribosomal RNA, 806 nt
Filed under: Variovorax ginsengisoli
Lineage: Bacteria; Pseudomonadati; Pseudomonadota; Betaproteobacteria; Burkholderiales; Comamonadaceae
Description: bacterial SSU rRNA
Rfam family: Bacterial small subunit ribosomal RNA
Source: RNAcentral
GCGGCAUGCCUUACACAUGCAAGUCGAACGGCAGCGCGGGAGCAAUCCUGGCGGCGAGUGGCGAACGGGUGAGUAAUACAUCGGAACGUGCCCAAUCGUGGGGGAUAACGCAGCGAAAGCUGUGCUAAUACCGCAUAAGAUCUACGGAUGAAAGCAGGGGAUCGCAAGACCUUGCGCGAAUGGAGCGGCCGAUGGCAGAUUAGGUAGUUGGUGAGGUAAAGGCUCACCAAGCCUUCGAUCUGUAGCUGGUCUGAGAGGACGACCAGCCACACUGGGACUGAGACACGGCCCAGACUCCUACGGGAGGCAGCAGUGGGGAAUUUUGGACAAUGGGCGCAAGCCUGAUCCAGCCAUGCCGCGUGCAGGAUGAAGGCCUUCGGGUUGUAAACUGCUUUUGUACGGAACGAAAAGUCUCUUUCUAAUAAAGAGGGAUCAUGACGGUACCGUAAGAAUAAGCACCGGCUAACUACGUGCCAGCAGCCGCGGUAAUACGUAGGGUGCAAGCGUUAAUCGGAAUUACUGGGCGUAAAGCGUGCGCAGGCGGUUAUGUAAGACAGUUGUGAAAUCCCCGGGCUCAACCUGGGAACUGCAUCUGUGACUGCAUAGCUAGAGUACGGUAGAGGGGGAUGGAAUUCCGCGUGUAGCAGUGAAAUGCGUAGAUAUGCGGAGGAACACCGAUGGCGAAGGCAAUCCCCUGGACCUGUACUGACGCUCAUGCACGAAAGCGUGGGGAGCAAACAGGAUUAGAUACCCUGGUAGUCCACGCCCUAAACGAUGUCAACUGGUUGUUGGGUCUUCACUGACUC